UCUUUAUAUGAUUUUCAAGGACAUCCUGCAAAGUUAGAUCAAACAUUGGCUGAAUGCUAUGAUGAAUUCAAAUUGAAACUUCUCAGGGUGUAUGUUUAUACAAAGAAGAAUCUGAUGCUGUUUGUAAAGCUGAAAACAAGGUGUUCACACUGACUAAACCUGUACAGUCAAAGGCUAAAGUUAAGAGAGUUUCUGUAUUCUUAUGUAUUCUAUUCUAUUAAGUAACAAACAUAAUGCAUGCUUGAGAGUUCAGUGCGUAUGAAUAAUUCACAAACGCUGAGUGUGUUGUUAUAAGCACCGAACGAGCAACUGUGCAUUAUUAUACAAUAGAUCACAAAAUAUUUGGCUGUAAUGUAUUUUUCAAAAAGGAAAGAAGUUGGCAGUUUUCAAAUUGGUUAAAUUAAAAAAAAUAAUUGUAUAAUUGUAUGAAUGAAAACAAACAUCAAGAAACUAACAUUUAAAGAACGCCUUACAAUAUGUUACUACCAAAUAAAAAAAAGUUAAAAUAUAAUAACCUAAAUAAAAAAAGAUAAUUCAUAGAUAAACAUGAAACAUUUUGUAAUCUUAAAAUGGUAAGAGUUUGUUUAUUUCAGUAGCUGAUUUUUCUCCAGCUGACAAGGGGCCAAUGUUAGGUUCCAGUGACCUGGUGCCAACGCAAGGUUCCAAUGACCAGGUGCCAACGCUAGGUUCCAAUGAUCAGGUGCCAAGGCCAGGUUCCAAUGACAAGGUGCCAACACUAGGUUCCAAUGACCAGGUGCCAACGCUAGGAUCCAAGUCAAGUGGUAGAGUUUCAAUUUUUUUAAAAAGUUAAAACAGAACCGAGACAAACUGGAAAGUGCAUCAGUUAAGGGUUUCAUGCUUGACUUUGAGCACGCGGCAUGGAAUGCAGUCCGAAAAGAAUUUGGUCAGGAUGUAGAUAAAAAGGGGUGUCUUCCACUAGUGUCAGGCAGUUUGGGGUCAGGAUCGGGCCAAUGGGUUCUCCACCACUUACAAUGCAAGGAAGAAUACUCACAAGUUUUUGCGUCAGCUGAUGGCACUUCCCUUCUUUCCAGUCAACCAUAUAGUGCCAACAUGGACGCAGGGACGAUCCACAAAAACACAGAUUGUAGCGUUCUGUAGCUACCUUGAACGUCAAUGGAUUGGGAAUCCCUCAUUCCCAGUGAGUUCGUGGUGUGUAUUCCGCCAGCCGGUACGGACGAAUAAUGAUGUAGAAGAUGUAAUUACACAUUUGUUAUGUCCUUCCACUGGCUGGCAUCAUCGUAUCAACAGGAAGGCAGGUGGAUGUUCGAUGUCCUUCUACAGGCUAGUUCCACUUCAGCGUAGGGAAGCAUAGACCGUUGGUCAGACACUACGAACAGGAGUUCUGAACAGGGCCAGAUCUGUAUGUACAACUAGAAUGGAGCGAAUCAUUCAAGACUUUUGGGAAAGAUAUCAAGACUCAGAACUUUCAACAACAGCAUUUUUGAAAGCUUGUUCUGCAUUGUACGGACCGUCGACUUAGAGUGAUUUUGUGAAAUGACGAGGAUGUAGUUUGUGGUGCUGUAGGUGGUGCUGUCAAUGACGGCGUCGACUUUGUUUUGUAAAAAAUAUAUGUUUUGUUACGUAAAAAUAUACAUAUUGUUUUUUUUUUGUUUUGUUUAAAUCUUGGAUUAUUUAAAAUACUAGAUUUUUGUUUUGUUUUGUCUUGCUUUAAUCAUAUUUGUCUGUACAGGUAGUCAUUAAACGUUUAAUGUCAUAGUAGAAGUAUUGUACAUAUAUUGUUGUUGUUGAUAAUGAUUAUUUCAUGUUGAGGUAACUAUUUUGUAUUUUCGUGUAAAUAAAAUAUGUUAUUGAUUAAUACAUGUACUAGUUUAUCCUGAUUUUGUCUUGUUCUGCCUCUUCACUUGUUGUAACAAUAAAUGUAAUAUAAAGCACUGUUUUCUCUUUGUUAUACUUAUAAACUCUCUCUGUCUC
Ruditapes philippinarum (Manila clam) is the source of this 1953-nucleotide long non-coding RNA. RefSeq lists it as uncharacterized. Lineage: Eukaryota; Metazoa; Mollusca; Bivalvia; Venerida; Veneridae. The transcript has 5 exons. The record is from RefSeq and is a predicted model, not a curated record.